GACGAACGCUGGCGGCGUGCUUAACACAUGCAAGUCGAACGGAAAGGCCCUGCUUUUGUGGGGUGCUCGAGUGGCGAACGGGUGAGUAACACGUGAGUAACCUGCCCUUGACUUUGGGAUAACUUCAGGAAACUGGGGCUAAUACCGGAUAGGAGCUCCUGCUGCAUGGUGGGGGUUGGAAAGUUUCGGCGGUUGGGGAUGGACUCGCGGCUUAUCAGCUUGUUGGUGGGGUAGUGGCUUACCAAGGCUUUGACGGGUAGCCGGCCUGAGAGGGUGACCGGCCACAUUGGGACUGAGAUACGGCCCAGACCCCUACGCGAGGCAGCAGUGAGGAAUAUCGCACAAUGGGCGGAAGCCUGAUGCAGCAAAGCGGCGUUCGGGAUGACGGCCUUCGGUUUGUAAGCCGAUUUCGCCUGUGACGAAGCGAGAGUGACGGUAAUGGGUAAAGAAGCACCGGCUAACUACGUG
RNAcentral lists this ribosomal RNA (468 nucleotides) under uncultured bacterium. RNAcentral's name for it is "partial 16S ribosomal RNA". It matches the Rfam family "Bacterial small subunit ribosomal RNA", at positions 28 to 507 of the family's 1533-position model. The record is from RNAcentral.